RNAcentral lists this ribosomal RNA (190 nucleotides) under uncultured bacterium. RNAcentral's name for it is "partial 16S ribosomal RNA". It matches the Rfam family "Bacterial small subunit ribosomal RNA", at positions 326 to 537 of the family's 1533-position model. The record is from RNAcentral.
ACGCUCGACACCUAGGGAGCAGCAGUGGGGAAUAUUGCACAAUGGGGGAAACCCUGAUGCAGCGACGCCGCGUGAGCGAAGAAGUAUUUCGGUAUGUAAAGCUCUAUCAGCAGGGAAGAAACUGACGGUACCUGACUAAGAAGCACCGGCUAAAUACGUCNCGNNCGCGUAUNUGNGCGGCGNGCGAGNG